CGAAGAUCCGUCAUUUAAAUAUGAUUUUGUUUGUUCUUUCCUGACGGCUCGCAUUCCAAUUCUCUGCCAUUUUAAAUUUGUAAAAUGGACACAAGUUUCUGCAAACUCAAAGCAAACAUUUACUCCUCCACAGCCUGUACCCAAUGUUGAUGAUAUGAUAAACAAGCAUUGACGAUCCCCUGAUUUCUUUUAUGGUUCAUCUUCUGAUCCAAUUUAAUGCUAUUCCAUAUUUCCACUGUUGUUUUAAACCCCCCAUGGACGACCACUUUUGAAGCUAACACACCUUGGAAGUGGAAGAAGAGGGUCUGUGCUUUUCGUUUGUUUUUUUUCUGGGUUCGAUCACAUAUUUAAGCAACCCUGUCUCAGCCAUGUUCAAGUCCACGUUAAAUAAUUUCAUCCCUGUGUAUUGAAAUCCGAAGUUACAGCAUCAAGUAUAUAGGCAGAGAUCGAGUUGUUUUUCAUAUCUGAGUUGUGAAUUUGUAUGUUAUUCUACUGUGACUUUGCAUGUUGAUUUUGCUGUGUUUUUCUUGACUGCAUUCGCAGAUAUAGCUUUGAACCACCACCAUGUUAAUGCAAACAAAUGCUUGUCUGACAUACUAUUAAACAGGAAACUGAAGUUCCAGACGGAUGAACAUUGUAACCACGGGAGAAAGAAGGUUCACCCAGAUGAUCUAAAUCUUGAUGACUACCAUCCCAUCGAUCCAGUUCCAAGUUCAAAAACAUCAGUCAAACCCGGGCCGAUAGAGCACGGCGCUCCUCUCCUCCCCCAUAUGCCAAAUCCUCCACCUCCCAGUCAGCCAGGCGGUUACGCUUAGAUAGCACAAACGUUUACCUUCUCUACUAGUUGUCUUAAAUAAUCCAAGUUUGUUUUUCAUGGAAACCAAACCAACUACGUUAUCCUGUCUCUUUUAUUUCGUGUAUUUAGUUGUCUUGUGUGUUAUCAUUUCUAUUUAAGUAUCCUUUAAAUGAUAUAUCUUCUGUUAUUUACAGAAACAAGAUAGUGUGCAUUAUACUGUGUUUCUGUCUCAAUCCCUUCUGUUGAAAUAUCUAUAGAAAGCAAAAGGUAUGAAGGGGUGUGGUAAUCAACCAAGAGCACCAACUCCAUUGAAAUAGAUAGAAGAUCAAAGGGGAAUAUUUUCUUCUUCCUUAAGCUAAAAAUUGUAACCACCAACUUUGGGGGAUUAAAAUCCCAUCAAUCAACAUCUAAACAAGUGUGCUUUCCUUCCA
Molecule: RNA transcript, 1227 nt
Organism: Cucumis sativus (cucumber)
Lineage: Eukaryota; Viridiplantae; Streptophyta; Magnoliopsida; Cucurbitales; Cucurbitaceae
Exons: 3
Source: RefSeq, a predicted model, not a curated record